Molecule: long non-coding RNA, 637 nt
Organism: Mus musculus (house mouse)
Lineage: Eukaryota; Metazoa; Chordata; Mammalia; Rodentia; Muridae
Product: predicted gene, 53805
Exons: 3
Source: RefSeq, a predicted model, not a curated record
GCUGAGCUCAACAGAAAUAUGCAGGGCUAGUGUACUGGUCCACAGGAAUGAAAGCUUUACACUGUAACAGGGCAAGCUGCUCUUUCCCAGCCAUAGUUUGCUUGUUAUUGGCAAAGCUUUUCUCAAUCUUAAAGCAACUAUUGUGGCAGAAUGAUCUUACAUCCUGAGUUCCGCUGCAUUUUACUUUGCAUUGAAAUGAACUUCAUGCCCCCCAUUCUACUUGAAGAUACCAACCACACUGAACAGCUCGGAGUUAACUGCGCCAACUCACUGCAGUUGGCGGUUCUUAAGAUGUUCAACUUCAAUUGUUCCCAAGUUCUAAUGCCUCCCUCAUGUAUCAGCACCCAUGCACCGGAAGCAUGAUUCCUCUUAGUGAUUGAAGGAAAAAGUUCUUGCAGCAGUCCAGAAAUUAACAAGCAUCAAGCAUCACAGCUAGGUCCUUGAGGGAGAACCUGCUUCUCAGGACUUCCCAGGUCUCUCGGGGACUGAAACCACACGUCUCUACAGUUCUUGCAGAGAAACUCUGUCAUUACUUCGAUGCUAUGGCUGUAAUCUUUAAUGUCUGCUGGCAGUUUGUACCUUCCUUAUGUCACAGGAAGAAGAUGACAGGGUUUCUCUGUAUAGCCCUGGCUGUCCU